This 451-nucleotide ribosomal RNA is filed under the name uncultured bacterium. RNAcentral's name for it is "partial 16S ribosomal RNA". It matches the Rfam family "Bacterial small subunit ribosomal RNA", at positions 28 to 507 of the family's 1533-position model. The record is from RNAcentral.
GAUGAACGCUGGCGGCGUGCCUAACACAUGCAAGUCGAGCGGCAGCGCGGGGUGCUUGCACCCUGUCGGCGAGCGGCGGACGGCUGAGUAGCGCGUGGGAACGUGCCCCAAAGUGAGGAAUAACUGCCCGAAAGGGUAGCUAAUACCGCAUAUUAUCUUCGGAUCAAAGGAUUUAUCCGCUUUGGGAGCGGCUCGCGUCGGAUUAGGUAGUUGGUGAGGUAAUGGCUCACCAAGCCGACGAUCCGUAGCUGGUCUGAGAGGAUGACCAGCCAGACUGGAACUGAGACACGGUCCAGACUCCUACGGGAGGCAGCAGUGAGGAAUCUUCCACAAUGGGCGAAGGCCUGAUGGAGCAACGCCGCGUGCAGGACGAAGGCCUUCGGGUUGUAAACUGCUUUUAUAAGUGAGGAAUAUGACGGUAACUUAUGAAUAAGGAUCGGCUAACUACGUG